CAGUAGCCGCGGUAAUACGAAGGGUGCAAGCGUUACUCGGAAUUACUGGGCGUAAAGCGUGCGUAGGUGGUGGUUUAAGUCCGUUGUGAAAGCCCUGGGCUCAACCUGGGAAUUGCAGUGGAUACUGGGUCACUAGAGUGUGGUAGAGGACAGUGGAAUUUCCGGUGUAGCAGUGAAAUGCGUAGAGAUCGGAAGGAACAUCUGUGGCGAAGGCGACUAUCUGGGCCAACACUGACACUGAGGCACGAAAGCGUGGGGAGCAAACAGGAUUAGAUACCCGCGUAGUCCCUGUCUCUUAUAC
This 301-nucleotide ribosomal RNA is filed under the name uncultured bacterium. RNAcentral describes it as "partial 16S ribosomal RNA". It matches the Rfam family "Bacterial small subunit ribosomal RNA", at positions 509 to 807 of the family's 1533-position model. The record is from RNAcentral.